UAGGGAAUCUUCGGCAAUGGGGGCAACCCUUACCGAGCAACGCCGCGUGAGUGAAGAAGGUUUUCGGAUCGUAAAGCUCUGUUGUAAGAGAAGAACGUGUGUGAGCGAGGAAAGUUCACACAGUGACGGUAACUUCCCAGAAAGGGACUGCUAACUACGUGCCAGCAGCCGCGGUAAUACGUAGGUCCCGAGCGUUGUCCGGAUUUAUUGGGCGUAAAGCGAGCGCAGGCGGUUUAAUAAGUCUGAAGUUAAAGGCAGUGGCUUAACCAGUGUUCGCUAAGGAAACUGUUAAACUUGAGUGCAGAAGGGGAGAGUGGAAUUCCAUGUGGAGCGGUGAAAUGCGUAGAUCUAUGGAGGAACACCGGUGGCGAAAGCGACUCUCUGGUCUGUAACUGUAGCUGAGGCUCGAAAGCGUGGGGAGCAAACAGG
RNAcentral lists this ribosomal RNA (429 nucleotides) under bacterium. RNAcentral's name for it is "partial 16S ribosomal RNA". It matches the Rfam family "Bacterial small subunit ribosomal RNA", at positions 355 to 776 of the family's 1533-position model. The record is from RNAcentral.